UACGUAGGGGGCAAGCGUUGUCCGGAUUCAUUGGGCGUAAAGAGCGUGUAGGCGGCCAGGUAGGUCGGUUGUGAAAACUGGAGGCUCAACCUUCAGAGGUCAACCGAAACCAUCUGGCUAGAGUCCGGGAGAGGAGAGUGGAAUUCCUGGUGUAGCGGUGAAAUGCGCAGAUAUCAGGAAGAACACCCGUGGCGAAAGCGGCUCUCUGGAACGGUACUGACGCUGAGACGCGAAAGCGUGGGGAGCGAACAGG
RNAcentral lists this ribosomal RNA (253 nucleotides) under uncultured bacterium. RNAcentral's name for it is "partial 16S ribosomal RNA". It matches the Rfam family "Bacterial small subunit ribosomal RNA", at positions 524 to 776 of the family's 1533-position model. The record is from RNAcentral.